CUACUCUGGUUUUUCUUCAGAUCGUAUAAAUCUUUCGCCUUUUACUAAAGAUUUCCGUGGAGAGGAACAUUUAUGAGUUUCUACCCAAUUUUUGAAAGACAAUAAGCAUGUAA
Molecule: small nuclear RNA, 113 nt
Filed under: Terrapene triunguis (Three-toed box turtle)
Lineage: Eukaryota; Metazoa; Chordata; Testudines; Emydidae
Description: Terrapene carolina triunguis (Three-toed box turtle) U5 spliceosomal RNA (ENSTMTG00000002897.1)
Rfam family: U5 spliceosomal RNA
About the family: U5 RNA is a component of both types of known spliceosome. The precise function of this molecule is unknown, though it is known that the 5' loop is required for splice site selection and p220 binding, and that both the 3' stem-loop and the Sm site are important for Sm protein binding and cap methylation.
Source: Rfam by way of RNAcentral